GCUGGGUGUGGUGGUGCAUGCCUGUAAUCCCAGCUACUCGGGAGGCUGAGGCAGGAGAAUCGCUUGAACCUGGGAGGCUGAGGUUGCAGUGAGCCAAGAUCAUGCCACUGCACUCCAGCCUGGGUGACAGGGCAAGACUCUGUCUCCA
RNAcentral lists this non-coding RNA (148 nucleotides) under Homo sapiens (human). The record is from Rfam by way of RNAcentral. Lineage: Eukaryota; Metazoa; Chordata; Mammalia; Primates; Hominidae.